AACGGGACAGACUACAGGAUUCCCCUAGUAACUGCGAGUGAAGCGGGAAAAGCUCAAAUUUAAAAUCUGGCAGUCUUUGGCUGUCCGAGUUGUAAUUUAGAGAAGCACUGCCGGUGCUGGACUGUGUACAAGUCUCCUGGAAUGGAGCAUCAUAGAGGGUGAGAAUCCCGUAUAUGACACAGUUGCCAGGGCUUAGUGGCCUGCUCUCCAAGAGUCGAGUUGUUUGGGAAUGCAGCUCAAAAUGGGUGGUAAAUUCCAUCUAAAGCUAAAUACAGGCGAGAAACCGAUAGCGAACAAGUACCGUGAGGGAAAGAUGAAAAGAACUUUGGAAAGAGAGUUAAACAGUACGUGAAAUUGUUGAAAGGGAAACGCUUGAAGUCAGUCACAUUGCUGGAAAUCACACUUGCUUUCAUUGCUUGUGGCUCUUUCCUAGUAAUGGGUCAGCAUCAGUUUUGAUUGUUGGACAAGGGUUAGAGGAAUGUGGCAUCCUUGGAUGUGUUAUAGCCUCUGAUCAUAUGCAAUGAUGGAGACUGAGGAACUCGGCACUUUUGUGCUUAGGAUGCUGGCAUAAUGGCUUUAAUCGACCCGUCUUGAAACACGGACCAAGGAGUCUAACAUGCCUGCGAGUGUUUGGGUGGAAAACUCAAGCGCGCAAUGAAAGUGAAAGUUGAGACCCUUGUCAUGGGGGGCAUCAACGCCCGGACCUGAGCUGCUGUGACGGUUCUGCGGUAGAGCAUGUAUGUUGGGACCCGAAAGAUGGUGAACUAUGCCUGAAUAGGGUGAAGCCAGAGGAAACUCUGGUGGAAGCUCGUAGCGAUUCUGACGUGCAAAUCGAUCGUCGAAUUUGGGUAUAGGGGCGAAAGACUAAUCGAACCAUCUAGUAGCUGGUUCUGCCGAGUUUCCUCAGGAAACGUAAACACCAAGCUACUAGAUGGUUCGAUUAGUCUUUCCCCUAUACCAAAUUCGACGAUCGAUUGCACGUCAGAUCGCUACGAGCUUCCACAGAGUUUCUUCUGGCUGCCCUAUUCAGGCAUAGUCCAUCUUUCGGUCAAUCAUAGGUCUACGCAAACGUACGAGCCAGUCGCUGAAUGCAUGACGUCCAAGUACUUUACUUUGCUGAGUUUUCAACUGCGCGCAGAUAGAAUCUGGUCUGA
RNAcentral lists this ribosomal RNA (1154 nucleotides) under Tricholomopsis rutilans. RNAcentral's name for it is "partial large subunit ribosomal RNA". It matches the Rfam family "Eukaryotic large subunit ribosomal RNA", at positions 52 to 1110 of the family's 3401-position model. Lineage: Eukaryota; Fungi; Basidiomycota; Agaricomycetes; Agaricales. The record is from RNAcentral.